GGCGGCGGCGGCGGCAGCUGCAAGUUGGGCUGCAGGGGCAGCGCAUACACUACAAUGGCUGCUGGAAAGAGGCGUAAGGAAACAAUUUCCAGGCCCGCCGCGUCCAGCCCGAAAUAUGAGAAAAAAAUUAUUAGAAAUUCCGCGGGCGGUGUAAAGGCGGCGGACGGGCCGGAGGGAGGAUGUUAAAGCCCCGCGAUUGGCCAAAAUGGGAAGGACUGGAUUCCGCUCUCUUCCACGAAGAGUCAAUGGAACUGGCUAAGAUCAAGGUCUGACGCUUUUUCCAUCUGUCAUCAGUCCCUUUUUGCUUUCUUUUACGACCACAUGAAACUUGAGAAGCCACCUAAAGCUAAAUCAUUUAGUGGAGUUGGGCAGUUCCCAAGUGUCCAACAAGAAGGCCUGGUUUAGGCUGCGAUGGCCACUGUCAUUCCUGGUGAUUUGUCAGAAGUAAGAGAUACCCAGAAAGUCCCUUCAGGGAAACGUAAGCGUGGUGAAACCAAACCAAGAAAAAACUUUCCUUGCCAACUGUGUGACAAGGCCUUUAACAGUGUUGAGAAAUUAAAGGUCCACUCCUACUCUCACACAGGAGAGAGGCCCUACAAGUGCAUACAACAAGACUGCACGAAAGCCUUUGUUUCUAAGUACAAAUUACAAAGGCACAUGGCCACGCACUCUCCCGAGAAAACCCACAAGUGUAAUUACUGUGAGAAAAUGUUUCACCGGAAGGACCACCUGAAGAAUCACCUGCACACACACGACCCCAACAAAGAGACGUUCACGUGCGAAGAGUGCGGCAAGAACUACAACACCAAGCUCGGGUUCAAGCGGCACCUGGCCUUGCACGCGGCCACGAGCGGCGACCUCACCUGCAAGGUCUGCCUGCAGACGUUCGAGAGCACGGGCGUGCUGCUGGAGCACCUGAAGUCCCACGCGGGCAAGUCGUCGGGGGGCGUGAAGGAGAAGAAACACCAGUGCGAGCACUGCGACCGCCGCUUCUACACGCGCAAAGACGUGCGCAGACACAUGGUGGUGCACACGGGAAGGAAGGACUUCCUCUGCCAGUACUGUGCACAGAGGUUCGGGCGCAAGGACCACCUGACGCGGCACAUGAAGAAGAGUCACAACCAGGAACUCCGGAAGGUCAAGACGGAGCCCGUGGACUUCCUGGAUCCCUUUACCUGCAACGUCUCCGUGCCCAUCAAGGACGAGCUCCUCCCGGUGAUGUCCUUGCCUUCCAGCGAACUGUUGUCGAAGCCGUUCACAAACACGCUGCAGCUGAACCUCUACAACACUCCGUUCCAGUCCAUGCAGAGCUCGGGAUCUGCCCACCAGAUGAUCACAACCCUGCCUUUGGGCAUGACGUGCCCAAUAGACAUGGAUGCUGUCCACCCCUCUCACCACCUUUCUUUCAAAUACCCGUUCAGUUCUACCUCAUACGCCAUUUCCAUCCCCGAAAAGGAGCAGCCGCUGAAGGGGGAGAUCGAGAGCUACCUGAUGGAACUGCAAGGCAGCGUGCCCCCCUCUUCCCAGGACUCUCAAGCAUCGUCGUCUAAGCUAGCGUUGGAGCCGCAGAUCGGGUCGCUGGAUGACGGCACGGGGGACCUCUCCCUGUCAAAAAGCUCGAUUUCUAUCAGCGAGCCCCUGAACACAGCAGCGUUGGACUUUUCUCAGCUGUUUAAUUUCAUACCAUUAAGCGGUCCCCCCUAUAACCCCAUAUCGGUGGGGAGCCUCGGGGUGAGCUCUCCGCAGGAGGAGGCACAUUCUUCUGUGGCUCAGCUCCCGCCACAAACCCAGGAACUUCCGGAUCCUGCCGGCACCAUAGGUCUGGGCUCUCUGCACUCACUAUCAGCGGCUUUCACCAGUAGUUUAAGCACAAGCACAACGCUGCCACGUUUCCACCAAGCUUUUCAGUAGGUUCCACGAUGCGGAUCCGUUACAGAAGUGUGUGUGUAGCCCUGCCUUAGGAAAAAAAGGACUACAUUAGGCGUAAAGGUGUACAAUAUAUUUUUAUACUGUGACUUCAUUUGUCUUUAACAAGACUUUUACACCACCCACAACAAUGUAUUCACGUGCACUUGCAAAAGGAAAUCUCGGACGUGCAGAUGUUACCAGAACAAAACCCAGCUUUGUCCACAAGGUGACUAUAACUCAGAACGAAACGUGGGCUUUAUGAUAUGGUGUGGCGUGAAGAACAUGCUGUAUGUUACUAACAGCCCUUUGAAUUUAACAAAAACUGGGAAUCCAUUCGGAAAUGGAUUGCAUCAUGCCUGAACAUAAGCUGGACUGCUGAGAUUGUAUUUUUAGCUGAUGGAAAAAGUGUUUGGACUAGUACUCUAAAAAUGUUCUAAUGAUAAAGUUUUGAGUCAAAAUAGAAAAGAAAAACUCUGCAUUCCAGGCUGAAUUUUGUAUAUUUUUAUUGCAUUUAAAAUCGCUAUUCUGUGAUAUGGGAAAUCAAGUGGCUUAUCAUGUAUAUCAUGUACUUAAAAUGUAUUCACAAACUACUGUUGUAUUUGUAUAAAAUAUAGACAAAGAUCGUAUUUUUUGUGUGUGUAUAAGCUCUGUAAAUUAGCAAUCACAUUAUGAAGCUGCAGUGAUAACUACAUUUUAAACAUCCACACCCAAAGAAGCAGCUAUUUAUUGUCCAGUUACCCAGAUAUAAAAUAUUAAUUUGCUGCUAAUUAAACAAGAGUGCUGCAGCUUCUUGUGGCCUACAGUGUUAUGUUUGCUGUAAGAAAAAGAUAUGUGAACUCCACAAAAUAUAUGAAUAAAAAUUA
Molecule: RNA transcript, 2771 nt
Organism: Lagenorhynchus albirostris (white-beaked dolphin)
Lineage: Eukaryota; Metazoa; Chordata; Mammalia; Artiodactyla; Delphinidae
Gene: PLAG1
Gene name: PLAG1 zinc finger
Exons: 5
Source: RefSeq, a predicted model, not a curated record